RNAcentral lists this ribosomal RNA (468 nucleotides) under uncultured bacterium. RNAcentral's name for it is "partial 16S ribosomal RNA". It matches the Rfam family "Bacterial small subunit ribosomal RNA", at positions 28 to 507 of the family's 1533-position model. The record is from RNAcentral.
GACGAACGCUGGCGGCGUGCUUAACACAUGCAAGUCGAACGGAAAGGCCCUGCUUUUGUGGGGUGCUCGAGUGGCGAACGGGUGAGUAACACGUGAGUAACCUGCCCUUGACUUUGGGAUAACUUCAGGAAACUGGGGCUAAUACCGGAUAGGAGCUCCUGCUGCAUGGUGGGGGUUGGAAAGUUUCGGCGGUUGGGGAUGGACUCGCGGCUUAUCAGCUUGUUGGUGGGGUAGUGGCUUACCAAGGCUUUGACGGGUAGCCGGCCUGAGAGGGUGACCGGCCACAUUGGGACUGAGAGACGGCCCAGACUCCUACGGGAGGCAGAAGUGGGGAAUAUUGCACAAUGGGCGGAAGCCUGAUGCAGCAACGCCGCGUGCGGGAUGACGGCCUGCGGGUUGUAAACCGCUUUCGCCUGUGACGAAGCGUGAGUGACGGUAAUGGGUAAAGAAGCACCGGCUAACUACGUG